AAUAAGUGCAGUUUUGCACUAUUUAUGUUCAACGUUUGACCGUCCGUCUUAUUUGAAAAUUUUUUAUGAUUAUUAUUUUUAUUGCUAUUAGAUGAUAAAACAUGAAUAAUACUUUAUGUGUGACUAAAUGUUUUUAAUUUUUUCACAAAUUUUUCAAAUAAGACGGACGGUCAAACGUUGAACGUGAAUAGUGCAAAACUGUACUUAUU
Molecule: microRNA precursor, 209 nt
Filed under: Oryza nivara
Lineage: Eukaryota; Viridiplantae; Streptophyta; Magnoliopsida; Poales; Poaceae
Description: MIR812 microRNA precursor family
Rfam family: MIR812 microRNA precursor family
Source: Rfam by way of RNAcentral